Molecule: ribosomal RNA, 468 nt
Filed under: uncultured bacterium
Lineage: Bacteria
Description: partial 16S ribosomal RNA
Rfam family: Bacterial small subunit ribosomal RNA
Source: RNAcentral
GACGAACGCUGGCGGCGUGCUUAACACAUGCAAGUCGAACGGAAAGGCCCUGCUUUUGUGGGGUGCUCGAGUGGCGAACGGGUGAGUAACACGUGAGUAACCUGCCCUUGGCUUUGGGAUGACUUCAGGAAACUGGGGCUAAUACCGGAUAGGAGCUCCUGCUGCAGGGUGGGGGUUGGAAAGUUUCGGUGGUUGGGGAUGGACGGGGGGCUUAUCAGCUUGUUGGGGGGGGAGUGGCUUACCAGGGCUUUGACGGGUAGCCGGCCUGAGAGGGUGACCGGCCACAUUGGGACUGCGAUACGGCCCAGACUCCUACGGGAGGCAGCAGUGGGGAAUAUUGCACAAUGGGCGGACGCCUGAUGCAGCAACGCCGCGUGCGGGAUGACGGCCUUCGUGUUGUAAACCGCUUUCGCCUGUGACGAAGCGUGAGUGACGGUAAUGGGUAAAGAAGCACCGGCUAACUACGUG